Molecule: ribosomal RNA, 274 nt
Filed under: uncultured bacterium
Lineage: Bacteria
Description: partial 16S ribosomal RNA
Rfam family: Bacterial small subunit ribosomal RNA
Source: RNAcentral
AUACAGGGGGUGCGAGCGUUAAUCGGAAUUACUGGGCGUAAAGAGUACGUAGGCGGUUGCUUAAGUCAGAUGUGAAAGCCCCGGGCUCAACCUGGGAACUGCAUUUGAAACUGGGUGACUAGAGUUUAAGAGAGGGGAGUAGAAUUCCGGGUGUAGCGGUGAAAUGCGUAGAGAUCCGGAGGAAUACCAGUGGCGAAGGCGGCUCCCUGGCUUAAAACUGACGCUGAGGUACGAAAGCGUGGGUAGCAAACAGGAUUAGAAACCCGAGUAGUCC